Non-coding RNA from Peromyscus maniculatus bairdii (prairie deer mouse), 1029 nucleotides. Lineage: Eukaryota; Metazoa; Chordata; Mammalia; Rodentia; Cricetidae. The record is from RefSeq and is a predicted model, not a curated record.
GAUCUAAAUCAAAUCUUUAUGUGACUGAAUGAUUAUGAAGAAACAGAAAUGCUGUUUGAAAAGGUUGCACUGCUGUUCGUGAUCUUGAAGUGGUCAUGUGAACACUGCUAAAAACCUGGUUUCGAUGUGUGAAGGAAUAUUGUGCUGGAAAAUGCUGUAAGGAAGUGUGGGUUGAACAGAAGCUGAGGAGUCUUAAGUGGAUCCCUAAUGUGCCAGAUCAUCAUCGACAUUAAUAAGAAGCAAGACGGUGAUGGACUUUAUAUAAUGUCUGAUGAAGACUCAGGGUUUUGAGAACAAAACUCUCCCACUCACUCAACCUAGCAGUGAAACAAAUGGUCGGAGACCAAGCUCAGGAGGAGUGGACAUUUGGGGCCUGCAGGACAGUGCUCUUCAUUUCAAAUGACAAACUAAAGGAGAACGUGGAAAGCUUUAGUGCGCAUCUUGUGCGUGCGGGAGUGCUAGAUUAAAGCUUAAGAAAAAGAGCUGUGAAGAUCAGCCUGUAAGACUGAGCAAGCCCCUAACUUUGAAUUUGGGCAUUUCCCUUUUCAUUACAGUGUGUCUGACAUUUCACAUGUCGCUCAACAUCAGGCUGGCCAAGGACGUCAUAAAUUUACAAAUGUGUGAACUUCUUUUAUUUAAAUUUGAGCCCGUGAUGCUGUAAGGCUGAAAAGUCUGUUUAUGGAAUCCCCUUUCAGCUUUCUGCGGCCUGAGCUCAGGGUUUGACAUUGCCCUGGAACCAGCAUGCAGGGUUGUUUACUGCUCAUUCUCCACAAGCCGGAGAAAUGCUUGGGGAGACUGAGACUCCCUGUGCUUUCUAGUAGAUCUUGGGGGCUUCAAAUAGGGGUGCAAUGACAUUUCUCUAGUGCAUGUUAGAUGCCUCUUCUCCCCACCUCCUCCUCUUCUCUCCUCUCCUCUACCUUUAGCAGUUCGCAGUUGUUACCUACUUCCUUUUGAGCUUCAACUCAGAAUGUUUCCAAAUACAGCCAGCAGAUGGAGCAAUUUACUUUAUUUAUACUUUCAUCCCGACUA